Micropterus dolomieu (smallmouth bass) is the source of this 590-nucleotide long non-coding RNA. RefSeq lists it as uncharacterized. The transcript has 3 exons. Lineage: Eukaryota; Metazoa; Chordata; Actinopteri; Centrarchiformes; Centrarchidae. The record is from RefSeq and is a predicted model, not a curated record.
GAGGGUUGAGCUCUAGAAUGUUCUGGCUGCACCAGGUCACCAGAUGGUCGAUCUCCCACCUGUAGGCGGACUCAUCCCCACCCAAUGAGGGUGGUGUCAUCCGCAAACUUCAGGAGCUUGACAGACUGGUGACUGGAGGUGCAGCUGUUGGUGUACAGGGAGAAGAGAUGGGGGGAAGAAAGCAGCCUUGAGGGAACCGGUGCUGAUGGUCAUGGACUCUGAGACAUGUUUUCCCAGCUUCAGGAGGUCUGUGAUCCACCUGCACAAUAGUUGUCUCCAAGCCUCUCUUCCACAUGUUCCACCUGUUGCUCUAAGUCCUGUUCUCCUGCGGCCUGUAUCUUGCCCGGUGCAGUUCCUGAUGUUGUGUCGCUAAUUUCCACGCUGCCUCUUGCCACAUGGCGCCAGAGGAUGUCCCCAAAUCACAGCAUUCCGUUCAGCUUCAGCUUUCUAACUGUGGUUGGUGGCGGUGUGAUCACAUACAAAGUCAAUGCAAAGACGUGGAGAGAUGGGAUUUCCCAUCAGGCGCUGCGGAGAGGGAGAAAGUUGCAUGAUGCAUCAGCGGUGAGAUUGACAGCUACAGAGCGUUGGGU